GUACACGCUGUGACUAGCAUAUCAAUAAGCGGAGGAAAAGUACCUACGCUUAGGAUGUUGACGCGCGUGUGUGCGUGACUCUAUACAUGACUCUGUGCAUAUCAAUAAGCGGAGGAAAAGAAACUAACAAGGAUUCCCCUAGUAACGGCGAGUGAAGCGGGAAGAGCUCAGAUUUGAAAUCUUAAAGGGUUUCCCUUUACGAAUUGUAGUUUAAAGAAGUGUUUUCUGUUGAGGUUUUGGUAAAAGUUCUUUGGAAUAGGACAUCAUAGAGGGUGAGAAUCCCGUAUUUGACCUUUACUUUCAACUUUGUGAUACACUUUCAAAGAGUCGGAUUGUUUGGGAAUGCAGUCCAAAGUGGGUGGUAAAUUUCAUCUAAAGCUAAAUAUUGGCGAGAGACCGAUAGCGAACAAGUACCGUGAGGGAAAGAUGAAAAGAACUUUGAAAAGAGAGUUAAACAGUACGUGAAAUUGUCAAAAGGGAAGCGUUUGACACCAGUGUUGUUUUUCUGAAAAUCAAUUAAAGAACUGUUUAUGCUAAGCUGUUUAGACUUUAUCAGCUAACUGUUUAGUUUUGAGCUUUUCUUUAAUGCACUUUUCAGUUAACAAGUCAACAUCAAUUUCUUUUGCUGUAAAAAAGCUUGAGGAAGGUGGCUUGAGAUUCGUCUUAAGUGUUUAUAGCCUCUUGCCUAUGCAGUCGGAGAGAUUGAGGUCUGCAGCGUAGAUCCUUCGGGGCUAAAUGCAUUUGUGCUAAGUUAUAGCAUUUUAUAGACAACUUGUUGACUAUGAUUUGUCUUGUAGCUUACUCGCUUAUGUUAUUUUACCUACGCUUAGGAUGUUGAUCUACAGAGCGAGAGU
RNAcentral lists this ribosomal RNA (854 nucleotides) under uncultured Neocallimastigales. Its description in RNAcentral is "partial large subunit ribosomal RNA". It matches the Rfam family "Eukaryotic large subunit ribosomal RNA", at positions 1 to 635 of the family's 3401-position model. Lineage: Eukaryota; Fungi; Neocallimastigomycota; Neocallimastigomycetes; Neocallimastigales. The record is from RNAcentral.